Non-coding RNA from Manis javanica (Malayan pangolin), 1911 nucleotides. NCBI's taxonomy places the organism in Eukaryota, Metazoa, Chordata, Mammalia, Pholidota, Manidae. The record is from RefSeq and is a predicted model, not a curated record.
GAGCAAUGAAAGGCUCAUCUGGUGAGAAAGGGGAUCUCCCCAUUGUGAAGUCACCUGAGCUCUGAGUCUUCAGUGGAGGGACAGGUUUGGACUGUUGGUAGAUGCUAUAACUCCCAUUGAUCAGACAAGAAAAUUGAGACUCAGAAGAGAGAAGUGACUUAUCCAAGAUUAAAUGCUGGCAACAUUUAUUGGCCAUUGUGAACUGGGUGUGAUAGUCCUGCCCCAUCAUACAAUGAUAAUUGGGGGAAAAUACUGACGUCCAAUCUCAUUAAUCAUUUGGCACCUGUGGGGAAGAUGCCAUUAUUAUCCCAUGUUGCAGACGAGGAAAGAGGACCCAGAGGAAGUAAUGUGACUAGGGCCACACGGCUUCGAAGUGGAUCACGAUGGUUAGAGUUUUGAGGCUGCGUCUUCGCCAUGGGACUUCCCUGUCAGCCAGAUGUGGGAAGCAAGACAGAGGUUUAACAACAUGCUCAAAGUCUCACAACUGGAAAAUAAUGGAUCCACGAUGUCAAAUCCAGUCCGGACUGCCCAGCUCUUAUCCGCUAUCUUACCACAGCCUGCAGAUACCAUGGGCUUCAGUUAUCAGGAAUCUUCUUUGAAUGCUGGAAGGAGGGCUCUGAAGAAUUUGAGACAUGUCCCACAGCAACCUCACAACCAAAUAAUAAUAUAGAAGAACCUUUGUCAGGAAGUUAUAUGGGUGUGAAAUUGUCUAAUAUAGUGAAUCUCUAUAAUACUCAAAGGAAACCCAGGAAGCUUGAAAAAUAAUUUAAAUUCUUUAUAUAUCACCUACUGUAUGUGAAAAGAGACAUAGAAGAAACAUGAGAACCUCUAACCUCUCUGCAAGAAUCAGACUGGAAUAUAAGCUACUUAGGUCAUUUCUUCUGGAGAAAGAAAGAUGAUUCAUGAAGGAACCAAAAGCCUAUAGGGUAGACUCAAGAGUCAUGAGAAUUGUCUCAAGAAGCAGGACUGGGGUGGAAUAUGAGCCCUGGAAACAAACGUCUGCUUAGAUUUCAAAAUUUCUCUAGAUUAGUGACUGCAACGUGCCUCUUAGUUUGUCUCUUUUUAAACAGGAGUGUCUAUGAUGAUUCUCCUGUCUUGUUCCAGCAUUGCAUACUGGGUGUGCAGGGCCCAUAUAACUUUGUGUUUAGUUCCUAGGUCUUUAGAUUGAGAUAAACUGUACCUAAGGAGCCACACCUGAAGAGCCUCACCAUUCCUGGUAAUAGUUUAUAUGUAACCUCUUAGACUUUGAGCUGAUGCUUUAAUGUGAUGCUUAGGAAGUCUUGGAAGGCAGAGAGCAUAUUUUGGAUUUAGGAGGAAUGUAAAUGAUUUGUGGUCAGAGAAUGGACUAUAGAUGAUUAAGAAUGGCCACAGAUUUUGUAAUACUCCUCCAUUUGGGAGAUGGGCUCUGUUUUUCUCCUCCUGAAUCAGAGCUGACCUGUGGCUGCUUGGACUGAUGGAGCGUGGGGAAAUGAUGCUUUUGACUUCUGCCUAGCAUUUGAGAGGGCAAAAAGCAUCUGCCUUAGUCUUUUGGAUCCUUGAAUGCACCCUAUGAGAUUGACCACAUGGAGAGAUCUGGCGACUGCAUGGAGAGAGAGAAGCAUUCAGCUAAAUUCAGUCUUCAAGCCAACCUGAGGAAGAUCCACGCAUGUCCUUGGUAUUUCUACGGGAGCAUGUGUGCAUUGCUGCAAUUCUGCCAAGGGGGAUAAAAACACCCAGGAUCUCUUCUUAAACUUCUUCAUGCCUAAUGAUCCGAAAGGAGAUAUCCAGUCUUUGUGGCCGAGGGGUGUUAUUCAAAUAAACAGAAAAAUAAAGAGUAGCCCGAAGGCAUAUAGAAGCUCCGAGAGCCCACACUGACGGAGAUCACCAUUUGGCCAACCUCAUAGGAAAGUAAACCACUUUUAUGUUCUUUCA